This 407-nucleotide ribosomal RNA is filed under the name uncultured bacterium. Its description in RNAcentral is "bacterial SSU rRNA". It matches the Rfam family "Bacterial small subunit ribosomal RNA", at positions 355 to 774 of the family's 1533-position model. The record is from RNAcentral.
UGGGGAAUAUUGCACAAUGGGCGCAAGCCUGAUGCAGCGACGCCGCGUGAGGGAUGACGGCCUUCGGGUUGUAAACCUCUUUCAGCAGGGAAGAAGCGCAAGUGACGGUACCUGCAGAAGAAGCGCCGGCUAACUACGUGCCAGCAGCCGCGGUAAUACGUAGGGCGCAAGCGUUGUCCGGAAUUAUUGGGCGUAAAGAGCUCGUAGGCGGUUUGUCGCGUCUGCUGUGAAAACGCGAGGCUCAACCUCGCGCCUGCAGUGGGUACGGGCAGAUUAGAGGGCGGUAGGGGAGACUAGAAUUCCUGGUGUAGCGGUGGAAUGCGCAGAUAUCAAGAGGAACACCGGUGGCGAAGGCGGGUCUCUGGGCCGUAACUGACGCUGAGGAGCGAAAGCAUGGGGAGCGAACA